CCAGUCCUGUCCCAGCCCAGCCUCAGCUCUGGGAGGAGACCCCACCCCUUCCCCUGCAGGCUUUUGUCGGCUCGGCAGAGCUGUUUUGUUUUGCAACGCCAGGGAAGAAACAGGGUCUCUUGCGGGAUCCGGGACCUCAGACCCGGUGUGACCCAGCUGAGGGAUCCACCUUCGCGUCUCCUUGAGGACGCAGAGCAGCCACUCCAAGUCCAGCAACACGAAGCCACAGCCCGGCAGCCACCGCUGAACACACCAAGAGGGUGACAGGAAGGCAGCAGUCCCCUACAGCACCCAGAUGACAGCCGAUGACGCAGUAAAGCUCAGACUGGACGCCACGCCACCUGGCACCCUGGGGAGUCAGAGAAGACCGAGGGAAUGCUGAUCGGAGGCUUCCGGAAGCCCCCGCAGGUCCCCCCACAAAGGCUCCUUCAGGUCACCCCCAAGCUGUGCGCACACCCCAAACCACUGCUCAGCCCUCCCAGAGAAGGCCAGCCAGGAGCCCCGCCACACACCAACCCUCAGCCUGGGCCCAGCCCCCAC
Chinchilla lanigera (long-tailed chinchilla) is the source of this 540-nucleotide long non-coding RNA. RefSeq lists it as uncharacterized. The record is from RefSeq and is a predicted model, not a curated record. NCBI's taxonomy places the organism in Eukaryota, Metazoa, Chordata, Mammalia, Rodentia, Chinchillidae. The transcript has 3 exons.